RNAcentral lists this ribosomal RNA (2924 nucleotides) under Escherichia coli. RNAcentral describes it as "23S ribosomal RNA". It matches the Rfam family "Bacterial large subunit ribosomal RNA". Lineage: Bacteria; Pseudomonadati; Pseudomonadota; Gammaproteobacteria; Enterobacterales; Enterobacteriaceae. The record is from RNAcentral.
GGGUUGUGAGGUUAAGCGACUAAGCGUACACGGUGGAUGCCCUGGCAGUCAGAGGCGAUGAAGGACGUGCUAAUCUGCGAUAAGCGUCGGUAAGGUGAUAUGAACCGUUAUAACCGGCGAUUUCCGAAUGGGGAAACCCAGUGUGUUUCGACACACUAUCAUUAACUGAAUCCAUAGGUUAAUGAGGCGAACCGGGGGAACUGAAACAUCUAAGUACCCCGAGGAAAAGAAAUCAACCGAGAUUCCCCCAGUAGCGGCGAGCGAACGGGGAGCAGCCCAGAGCCUGAAUCAGUGUGUGUGUUAGUGGAAGCGUCUGGAAAGGCGCGCGAUACAGGGUGACAGCCCCGUACACAAAAAUGCACAUGCUGUGAGCUCGAUGAGUAGGGCGGGACACGUGGUAUCCUGUCUGAAUAUGGGGGGACCAUCCUCCAAGGCUAAAUACUCCUGACUGACCGAUAGUGAACCAGUACCGUGAGGGAAAGGCGAAAAGAACCCCGGCGAGGGGAGUGAAAAAGAACCUGAAACCGUGUACGUACAAGCAGUGGGAGCCUCUUUUAUGGGGUGACUGCGUACCUUUUGUAUAAUGGGUCAGCGACUUAUAUUCUGUAGCAAGGUUAACCGAAUAGGGGAGCCGAAGGGAAACCGAGUCUUAACUGGGCGUUAAGUUGCAGGGUAUAGACCCGAAACCCGGUGAUCUAGCCAUGGGCAGGUUGAAGGUUGGGUAACACUAACUGGAGGACCGAACCGACUAAUGUUGAAAAAUUAGCGGAUGACUUGUGGCUGGGGGUGAAAGGCCAAUCAAACCGGGAGAUAGCUGGUUCUCCCCGAAAGCUAUUUAGGUAGCGCCUCGUGAAUUCAUCUCCGGGGGUAGAGCACUGUUUCGGCAAGGGGGUCAUCCCGACUUACCAACCCGAUGCAAACUGCGAAUACCGGAGAAUGUUAUCACGGGAGACACACGGCGGGUGCUAACGUCCGUCGUGAAGAGGGAAACAACCCAGACCGCCAGCUAAGGUCCCAAAGUCAUGGUUAAGUGGGAAACGAUGUGGGAAGGCCCAGACAGCCAGGAUGUUGGCUUAGAAGCAGCCAUCAUUUAAAGAAAGCGUAAUAGCUCACUGGUCGAGUCGGCCUGCGCGGAAGAUGUAACGGGGCUAAACCAUGCACCGAAGCUGCGGCAGCGACACUGUGUGUUGUUGGGUAGGGGAGCGUUCUGUAAGCCUGCGAAGGUGUACUGUGAGGUAUGCUGGAGGUAUCAGAAGUGCGAAUGCUGACAUAAGUAACGAUAAAGCGGGUGAAAAGCCCGCUCGCCGGAAGACCAAGGGUUCCUGUCCAACGUUAAUCGGGGCAGGGUGAGUCGACCCCUAAGGCGAGGCCGAAAGGCGUAGUCGAUGGGAAACAGGUUAAUAUUCCUGUACUUGGUGUUACUGCGAAGGGGGGACGGAGAAGGCUAUGUUGGCCGGGCGACGGUUGUCCCGGUUUAAGCGUGUAGGCUGGUUUUCCAGGCAAAUCCGGAAAAUCAAGGCUGAGGCGUGAUGACGAGGCACUACGGUGCUGAAGCAACAAAUGCCCUGCUUCCAGGAAAAGCCUCUAAGCAUCAGGUAACAUCAAAUCGUACCCCAAACCGACACAGGUGGUCAGGUAGAGAAUACCAAGGCGCUUGAGAGAACUCGGGUGAAGGAACUAGGCAAAAUGGUGCCGUAACUUCGGGAGAAGGCACGCUGAUAUGUAGGUGAAGUCCCUCGCGGAUGGAGCUGAAAUCAGUCGAAGAUACCAGCUGGCUGCAACUGUUUAUUAAAAACACAGCACUGUGCAAACACGAAAGUGGACGUAUACGGUGUGACGCCUGCCCGGUGCCGGAAGGUUAAUUGAUGGGGUCAGCGCAAGCGAAGCUCUUGAUCGAAGCCCCGGUAAACGGCGGCCGUAACUAUAACGGUCCUAAGGUAGCGAAAUUCCUUGUCGGGUAAGUUCCGACCUGCACGAAUGGCGUAAUGAUGGCCAGGCUGUCUCCACCCGAGACUCAGUGAAAUUGAACUCGCUGUGAAGAUGCAGUGUACCCGCGGCAAGACGGAAAGACCCCGUGAACCUUUACUAUAGCUUGACACUGAACAUUGAGCCUUGAUGUGUAGGAUAGGUGGGAGGCUUAGAAGUGUGGACGCCAGUCUGCAUGGAGCCGACCUUGAAAUACCACCCUUUAAUGUUUGAUGUUCUAACGUUGACCCGUGAUCCGGGUUGCGGACAGUGUCUGGUGGGUAGUUUGACUGGGGCGGUCUCCUCCUAAAGAGUAACGGAGGAGCACGAAGGUUGGCUAAUCCUGGUCGGACAUCAGGAGGUUAGUGCAAUGGCAUAAGCCAGCUUGACUGCGAGCGUGACGGCGCGAGCAGGUGCGAAAGCAGGUCAUAGUGAUCCGGUGGUUCUGAAUGGAAGGGCCAUCGCUCAACGGAUAAAAGGUACUCCGGGGAUAACAGGCUGAUACCGCCCAAGAGUUCAUAUCGACGGCGGUGUUUGGCACCUCGAUGUCGGCUCAUCACAUCCUGGGGCUGAAGUAGGUCCCAAGGGUAUGGCUGUUCGCCAUUUAAAGUGGUACGCGAGCUGGGUUUAGAACGUCGUGAGACAGUUCGGUCCCUAUCUGCCGUGGGCGCUGGAGAACUGAGGGGGGCUGCUCCUAGUACGAGAGGACCGGAGUGGACGCAUCACUGGUGUUCGGGUUGUCAUGCCAAUGGCACUGCCCGGUAGCUAAAUGCGGAAGAGAUAAGUGCUGAAAGCAUCUAAGCACGAAACUUGCCCCGAGAUGAGUUCUCCCUGAGACUAUAAGUCUCCUGAAGGAACGUUGAAGACGACGACGUUGAUAGGCCGGGUGUGUAAGCGCAGCGAUGCGUUGAGCUAACCGGUACUAAUGAACCGUGAGGCUUAACCUUACAACGCCGAAG